RNAcentral lists this ribosomal RNA (253 nucleotides) under uncultured bacterium. Its description in RNAcentral is "partial 16S ribosomal RNA". It matches the Rfam family "Bacterial small subunit ribosomal RNA", at positions 524 to 776 of the family's 1533-position model. The record is from RNAcentral.
UACAGAGGUCUCAAGCGUUGUUCGGAUUCAUUGGGCGUAAAGGGUGCGUAGGUGGCGUCGUAAGUCAGGUGUGAAAUCUCGGGGCUCAACCCCGAAACUGCACUUGAUACUGCGAUGCUCGAGUACUGGAGAGGAGAUUGGAAUUUACGGUGUAGCAGUGAAAUGCGUAGAUAUCGUAAGGAAGACCAGUGGCGAAGGCGAAUCUCUGGACAGUUACUGACGCUGAGGCACGAAGGCCAGGGGAGCAAACGGG